Molecule: long non-coding RNA, 597 nt
Organism: Neofelis nebulosa (Clouded leopard)
Lineage: Eukaryota; Metazoa; Chordata; Mammalia; Carnivora; Felidae
Exons: 4
Source: RefSeq, a predicted model, not a curated record
CUUCUGCCCGCAGCAACCGGUUCCCACGAGCCCUGGGGCGGUUUUGAGACUGGAGGCGGGAGUGGGUUGGACGCGCGUCCCGGCUCCUGAGACCCAGCUGGAGUUUCAGAGUCAGAAAAGAAGGCACAGAUGUAAAACCAGUUUACAUUCAGAAGAAACAGAAUCAAAGAAUGCUCUCUACCUAGCUGCCUCCUCAACAGUGACAGUCAGGAAAAUGUGACCAUCACUGCGUUAGCAGAAAGCCGAGAAACCAUUGGUGAACCAUCCUGACAAACUCCCUGUUAUGGUGGAGCUUACACUCUGGUGAAAAGGGAGCAGGCCAGAAAUGCCAGGUCAGUUAACAUCCCCAGGGAGCUGCCACCAGCCAGUGAUGAAUGAGAAGUGGAGGAAAAAAUACCCCAGUUCCCCUGCCCUUGGAUGGGACAACUCUGGGUCAUGUUCGCCAUGGAUCCCAACAGGAUUGAGGCCCAGUUACCCUCAGUGAUAAUCUGCUCACUAAAAACUCUUUAGUCAUGCAAACUUUCAUGCCUCUUUCUUUAUGAGUGCUUUCUGGAAUCCCCUCCCAAAUAAACCAUUGGCACUAAAAUCUUUGUCUUC